This 477-nucleotide ribosomal RNA is filed under the name uncultured bacterium. RNAcentral's name for it is "partial 16S ribosomal RNA". It matches the Rfam family "Bacterial small subunit ribosomal RNA", at positions 30 to 507 of the family's 1533-position model. The record is from RNAcentral.
AUUGAACGCUGGCGGCAUGCCUUACACAUGCAAGUCGAACGGUAACAGGUUAAGCUGACGAGUGGCGAACGGGUGAGUAAUGUAUCGGAACGUGCCCAGUCGUGUGGGAUAACUGCUCGAAAGAGCAGCUAAUACCGCAUACGACCUGAGGGUGAAAGCGGGGGAUCGCAAGACCUCGCGCGAUUGGAGCGGCCGAUAUCAGAUUAGGUAGUUGGGGAGGUAAAGGCUCACCAAGCCGACGAUCUGUAGCUGGUCUGAGAGGACGACCAGCCACACUGGGACUGAGACACGGCCCAGACUCCUACGGGAGGCAGCAGUGGGGAAUUUUGGACGAUGGGCGCAAGCCUGAUCCAGCCAUGCCGCGUGCGGGAAGAAGGCCUUCGGGUUGUAAAGCGCUUUUGUCAGGGAAGAAAAGGUUCUGGCUAAUACCUGGGACUCAUGACGGUACCUGAAGAAUAAGCACCGGCUAACUACGUG